This 253-nucleotide ribosomal RNA is filed under the name uncultured bacterium. RNAcentral's name for it is "partial 16S ribosomal RNA". It matches the Rfam family "Bacterial small subunit ribosomal RNA", at positions 524 to 776 of the family's 1533-position model. The record is from RNAcentral.
UACGAAGGGGGCUAGCGUUGCUCGGAAUUACUGGGCGUAAAGCGCGUGUAGGCGGGUCUUUAAGUCAGGGGGGAAAUGCCAGGGCUCAACCUUGGAACUGCCUUUGAUACUGGAGACCUUGAGUCCGGGAGAGGUGAGUGGAAUUGCGAGUGUAGAGGUGAAAUUCGUAGAUAUUCGCAAGAACACCAGUGGCGAAGGCGGCUCACUGGCCCGGAACUGACGCUGAGACGCGAAAGCGUGGGGAGCAAACAGG